This 1238-nucleotide long non-coding RNA is filed under the name Sander lucioperca (pikeperch). RNAcentral describes it as "lncRNA (ENSSLUG00000012350.1)". The record is from RNAcentral. Lineage: Eukaryota; Metazoa; Chordata; Actinopteri; Perciformes; Percidae.
CUUUUUGUUGAGGUCCCUCCGUAUCGAAACCGGACCAUUUCCCACCCAGCCAAAGUCAACUUCUACGUCAUCAACGGGAAGAAGAAACGCAGUCAGCCUCAGCACUUCACCUACACUCCUGUGAUAGCCGUUAAAGCAGAACCACUGGAUGACUACCAGUUGAAUUCGUACAUCUACUCAGACAAUCAAUCUCUGGCUGGCCUGUCAAUGAAGUCACUCUACCAUCACCUGGAGCAGGAGAGCAACCUUCAAGCCUUGAGUGUUUCUCCAACAAUGUACCAUCUAACCACUGUAGACCCCAGAGCCCACGUGUUAAUCCCUGAUCCACUGGACGACCAACCAGUUUAUUACCAGUCUAGAGCCGGCACUCUGAUCAACAACCCUGUGCUGUACCACACUGCAGACCAACGUUACAGCAACUGUGGUGCCACCCUCCUCGGUGGUUCCCAGAUGGCUUCCCACCCUGCCUCCACCCCCAGCCAGUGUGUCAGUGCCAGAACCCCUGUGGGCAAAGUGGGUGAGUGUCCUCAGGUUGGUGAUUCCUUUGAGGCCUGUUUGAUGUCAAGACAUCAGAGUUUUGUGCAGACAGCAUUGCCACUGGGAAAGUCACCACCUUCAAGAUUCAUCCAAGGUGACGUUCAAGGGAAGGCUGUAAGCCGAGUGGAGCCUCUGACCCAGAUCAGCUCUGGAAGGGGAAACCAUGAGGAACAAGCUACAGAGAAAGUCACAGUCAAACAAGAAAACCUCCGCUAUGCUUACUUGGAGGAUGUAAAUGACAUCAUAAGAAGAGACAUGAAAGGCCACAAUGGAAAGUGAUCCAGGAGGCCUGCGGCAGCCCUGAUGUCCAUCAGAUUAAGCAUAAUUUGUAAAAUGUUGGAAUAUGUAAGCAAUAAAAAAAAUGGAUUGGUGGCAGGAAUUUAAGGCACAUUAUAGAAACUGAUCCACUGUAGGCCUAUAUGAUGACUUUAGACUUUUUAGCCUUAGCAAAGAUAGCAUAUAGGACAUGUGUCAUACCUUAUACUGUGUUAGCUAUUGUAUCUUUAUUUUAACCAGUUUGACUUAUUGAGUUUAUCUAUAUAUUUGUACAAUUGCUCUUUGUUAGCAUGUAUAAAAUACUUUAUAUUAAAUAAAUUCUGUUUAUAUUAAUCAGUGUGUUUGCAUUAAGAGCAGAAAUGGACUGAAGAGUAAAUCAAAUAUUCUCAACUAACACGUUUUAAAAACAACGAUCUAAUACAACU